CAGAGUUCAUGCCCUCACGGGUAGAUCUCCCACCCUUGUGUAAUAUAAAUAUCUGUUGCUUUGGCGGGUCGCGAGCUCACCCUCGCCCUGUGUACCCGCCAGAGGACCAAUAAACUCUGAAUGUUAGUGUCGUCUGAGUACUAUAUAAUAGUUA
RNAcentral lists this unclassified non-coding RNA (154 nucleotides) under uncultured Helotiales. Lineage: Eukaryota; Fungi; Ascomycota; Leotiomycetes; Helotiales. The record is from RNAcentral.